This 70-nucleotide transfer RNA is filed under the name Dipodomys ordii (Ord's kangaroo rat). It matches the Rfam family "tRNA". From Rfam's summary of the family: Transfer RNA (tRNA) molecules are approximately 80 nucleotides in length. Their secondary structure includes four short double-helical elements and three loops (D, anti-codon, and T loops). Lineage: Eukaryota; Metazoa; Chordata; Mammalia; Rodentia; Heteromyidae. The record is from Rfam by way of RNAcentral.
GGGGAGGUAGCUCAGUGGUAGAGUGCUUGUCUUGCAUGCAUGAGGCCCUGGGUUCAAUUCCUCAGCACCA